Molecule: ribosomal RNA, 859 nt
Filed under: uncultured marine bacterium
Lineage: Bacteria
Description: bacterial SSU rRNA
Rfam family: Bacterial small subunit ribosomal RNA
Source: RNAcentral
AGAGUUUGAUCCUGGCUCAGAACGAACGCUGGCGGCAGGCCUAACACAUGCAAGUCGAGCGCGCCUUCGGGUGAGCGGCGGACGGGUUAGUAACGCGUGGGAACGUGCCCUUCUCUACGGAAUAGCCUCUGGAAACGGAGAGUAAUACCGUAUACGCCCUUUGGGGGAAAGAUUUAUCGGAGAAGGAUCGGCCCGCGUUAGAUUAGGUAGUUGGUGGGGUAAUGGCCUACCAAGCCUACGAUCUAUAGCUGGUUUUAGAGGAUGAUCAGCAACACUGGGACUGAGACACGGCCCAGACUCCUACGGGAGGCAGCAGUGGGGAAUCUUAGACAAUGGGGGCAACCCUGAUCUAGCCAUGCCGCGUGAGUGAUGAAGGCCUUAGGGUCGUAAAGCUCUUUCGCCUGUGAUGAUAAUGACAGUAGCAGGUAAAGAAACCCCGGCUAACUCCGUGCCAGCAGCCGCGGUAAUACGGAGGGGGUUAGCGUUGUUCGGAAUUACUGGGCGUAAAGCGCGCGUAGGCGGACUAGAAAGUUGGGGGUGAAAUCCCGGGGCUCAACCCCGGAACUGCCUCCAAAACUGCUAGUCUAGAGUUCGAGAGAGGUGAGUGGAAUUCCGAGUGUAGAGGUGAAAUUCGUAGAUAUUCGGAGGAACACCAGUGGCGAAGGCGGCUCACUGGCUCGAUACUGACGCUGAGGUGCGAAAGUGUGGGGAGCAAACAGGAUUAGAUACCCUGGUAGUCCACACCGUAAACGAUGAAUGCCAGUCGUCGGAUAGUAUACUAUUCGGUGACACACCUAACGGAUUAAGCAUUCCGCCUGGGGAGUACGGUCGCAAGAUUAAAACUCAAAGGAAUUGACGG